Molecule: ribosomal RNA, 253 nt
Filed under: uncultured bacterium
Lineage: Bacteria
Description: partial 16S ribosomal RNA
Rfam family: Bacterial small subunit ribosomal RNA
Source: RNAcentral
UACGAAGGGGGCUAGCGUUGUUCGGAAUUACUGGGCGUAAAGCGCACGUAGGCGGAUAUUUAAGUCAGGGGUGAAAUCCCAGAGCUCAACUCUGGAACUGCCUUUGAUACUGGGUAUCUGGAGUAUGGAAGAGGUGAGUGGAAUUCCGAGUGUAGAGGUGAAAUUCGUAGAUAUUCGGAAGAACACCAGUGGCGAAGGCGACUCACUGGACACGUAUUGACGCUGAGGUGCGAAAGCGUGGGGAGCAAACAGG